UACGUAGGGCGCAAGCGUUGUCCGGAUUUAUUGGGCGUAAAGAGCUCGUAGGCGGUUUGUCGCGUCUUCCGUGAAAACUGGGGGCUUAACUUCCAGCUUGCGGUGGAUACGGGCUGACUGGAGUGCGGCAGGGGAGACUGGAAUUCCUGGUGUAGCGGUGAAAUGCGCAGAUAUCGGGAGGAACACCGGUGGCGAAGACGGCCUUCUGGACAGUGACUGACGCUGAGACGCGAAAGCGUGGGGAGCAAACAGG
Molecule: ribosomal RNA, 253 nt
Filed under: uncultured bacterium
Lineage: Bacteria
Description: partial 16S ribosomal RNA
Rfam family: Bacterial small subunit ribosomal RNA
Source: RNAcentral